CAGACGCAGAGAAUAAAAUCCAGGGCAAAAUCCAUCCACCCAUCCUGUGUGAGGAGGUUCCCCCGAGCAGGAACUAAAGCUGGAUAUCAGCAGUCAAGGCAACCCACUUGGAGCACGCCAAGUCCCAGUCACCAACUGGCUGACGCACCGGGUUUGCCGCUCUCCCGAGCCCUGCAGAAG
Molecule: long non-coding RNA, 180 nt
Organism: Zonotrichia albicollis (white-throated sparrow)
Lineage: Eukaryota; Metazoa; Chordata; Aves; Passeriformes; Passerellidae
Source: RefSeq, a predicted model, not a curated record